GAUGAACGCUGGCGGCGUGCCUAAUACAUGCAAGUCGAGCGAACGGACGAGAAGCUUGCUUCUCUGAUGUUAGCGGCGGACGGGUGAGUAACACGUGGAUAACCUACCUAUAAGACUGGGAUAACUUCGGGAAACCGGAGCUAAUACCGGAUAAUAUUUUGAACCGCAUGGUUCAAAAGUGAAAGACGGUCUUGCUGUCACUUAUAGAUGGAUCCGCGCUGCAUUAGCUAGUCGGUAAGGUAACGGCUUACCAAGGCAACGAUGCAUAGCCGACCUGAGAGGGUGAUCGGCCACACUGGAACUGAGACACGGUCCAGACUCCUACGGGAGGCAGCAGUAGGGAAUCUUCCGCAAUGGGCGAAAGCCUGACGGAGCAACGCCGCGUGAGUGAUGAAGGUCUUCGGAUCGUAAAACUCUGCUAUUAGGGAAGAACAUAUGUGUAAGUAACUGUGCACAUCUUGACGGUACCUAAUCAGAAAGCCACGGCUAACUACGUG
This 497-nucleotide ribosomal RNA is filed under the name uncultured bacterium. RNAcentral's name for it is "partial 16S ribosomal RNA". It matches the Rfam family "Bacterial small subunit ribosomal RNA", at positions 28 to 507 of the family's 1533-position model. The record is from RNAcentral.